This 495-nucleotide ribosomal RNA is filed under the name uncultured bacterium. RNAcentral describes it as "partial 16S ribosomal RNA". It matches the Rfam family "Bacterial small subunit ribosomal RNA", at positions 28 to 507 of the family's 1533-position model. The record is from RNAcentral.
GAUGAACGCUGGCGGCGUGCCUAAUACAUGCAAGUAGAACGCUGAAGGAGGAGCUUGCUCUUCUGGAUGAGUUGCGAACGGGUGAGUAACGCGUAGGUAACCUGCCUGGUAGCGGGGGAUAACUCUUGGAAACGAUAUCUAAUACCGCAUGACAACAGUUAUUGCAUGUUAUCUGUUCAAAAGGGGCACCUGCUCCACUACCAGAUGGACCUGCGUUGUAUUAGCUAGUUGGUGAGGUAACGGCUCACCAAGGCGACGAUACAUAGCCGACCUGAGAGGGUGAUCGGCCACACUGGGACUGAGACACGGCCCAGACUCCUACGGGAGGCAGCAGUAGGGAAUCUUCGGCAAUGGACGGAAGUCUGACCGAGCAACGCCGCGUGAGUGAAGAAGGUUUUCGGAUCGUAAAGCUCUGUUGUAAGAGAAGAACGAGUGUGAGAGUGGAAAGUUCACACUGUGACGGUAUCUUACCAGAAAGGGACGGCUAACUACGUG